Molecule: long non-coding RNA, 2788 nt
Organism: Mercurialis annua (annual mercury)
Lineage: Eukaryota; Viridiplantae; Streptophyta; Magnoliopsida; Malpighiales; Euphorbiaceae
Exons: 2
Source: RefSeq, a predicted model, not a curated record
CUUACUUUUGUACGAUUACUGUGUAUCAAAACCCUACUCUCUCAAUCAAGAAAGUGAAGUAUACUCCCAACACAAACAACAUUAUAUUAUAUUAUCACUGUCUAUAACCAGCAGCAUCAACAACAAGAACAAACCCUCAAAUGAUCAUCAAAGUUCAAACAAACCCUAUCUUCUUCUUCUUCAUCUUCUUCCUGUAGAGAGCUGGUUUCAUAUUUUCUUUUCUUGUGAGAAAAGAAGAGAAAAUGAGGGAAACAGAAAGAAAAUAAACCCACAAGUUUAAGUUUUGUUUAUUAAAAUGAAAAAAUGAGAUGUUUUUCUUGAAAGAAUUUGAAGAGUUUAUUUUGUUUUUGCCAGAUUUGUAGAGAGAGAUCUUAAUUCAAUCGCUUUCUUUCUUCUUCUUCUCUGACUCUCAUGGAGAUAGCGACAUUUCAUCUUCUUCUUCCUCUGCUCUUUUCUUCUUUUAUUUAUUAUUUUUCUCUUCCGUGAUUUCCUCACUGAUAUAUUAAUUUCCAGUUCUCUUUAUGGCUAAUACUAUUAAUUUCAUUUCUACAUUCUUUUUCCUUUUUUGCUUUUUAAACUGUGUGCAACUCGUCAUUAUCGUCCUUCACUCACUCAGAUUAAUGCGUUUCAGAUCAAGACUCAGUUCUAGCUCUUUGAGAUCUAUGUUACUUUAGCAGUUGGGUUACCUUCAAGUCACUUUCAUUUUAUUCCAGGACAUGGGAAAACCUUGUCUACUUUAGGGUUAGGGUUCAUGCAGAGCUUUCAAAUUUAAUAUUUCAAUUCUUGAAGCAGCACCGUUUUUGCAUUUAGCUUGUUAUACUUCUAAAUUUUCACAUGAUAUUUAAGGUUAAAUUAAGGAUCUUACUUUUAACCAGACUAAGAACUUUUCCUUGAUUAAGGGUAGGAUUAAUUGUUAGUGUUCUUGGCUGCUGUUUUCUUGCUUUUCUGAUAUGUUGUUUUCCUUCUCUUUUUUAUGUCCCAUUUUGAACUCUUUUUAAAGUGAUUGGUUAAUUACCAUUGUUUUAAUGAAAAUCAGAAAUGAAUAUGCCUGGUCUUUUGUGACAUUUACAUGCAAUACCAAAACUUAAUUUAAUUUUGCCUUGACAAGAAAAAGUUAAUGCUUGGUAGUUGAUUUACAUUGGUACUUAAUUAAUUGAGGAGAAGAUCCUGGAUCGUGUAGAAUCAUUAGAUUGAGUAGUGAAAAUGCAUCAUCAAACACCAUGGCCGUUGUAACCGGCCUCGAAAAAUCUCUUUAGCUAGGUAUCUCUGAUGGUGAUUAUAGUUACUGUGCUGUUAAGUUAUCAACAAUGUCUAGUAGGAUAUUAUAUCAUGGGCAAUUGUUUAAGAGAGCUCUCUUCAGUCCACUCAUGGGCGGGCGAAGGGUUUGAACUAUCUGCCGACUCAUUCAUUCAAACACAGUAGAAUCAGAGCACAAGUAGCUGCUGUUGUGAAUGUGUGAAUGAUGCGGGAGAUAAAUUUCAUACUCCUCUUCUCUGUGCUUGGACUGAAGGGAGCUCCCUUUAACUGUUUCAUAUUCAUACAAUUAAAUUUUCAAUCAGUCCAUUUCAAUUAAUACAUGUGCUUUCAUCUUAAUACAUUUACGAUUUGAUAAUUUGCUCAAUUGUCCAAAUCUUUGAUCAAUGGCGGGACUCUUGGUAGAAAUUAACAACUUGUUGUGAUCAUGCAUGUGAAUUACCAUAUUGCACGAAAAUGAUGCAACUGAAAUGCUGAUAUAGAAAAAAGCAAAAUGAUAUUUGUACAAGAACAAAAUUAUGAAUAUAAAGUUUUGGAGUUUCGAAAGCGUUUUCAAACACAAAUCUCCGCCGAAGUAUUUAUGAUAGCUUAUGCGCAUCGAAAGUCAUGAAUUGCAUUAAUUAAGUCAUGAAUAUGAGUGUUUUAAGGUUUAGAAUCCCUUCAUAGUCCAUCGGUCUGAAAGGGUUUAUAACCACAUUUAUGAUACAAUAGCUAUGUUAAUAGAAAUUGUAUAUUUAGCUGAAAUUUGGCAUGGAACAAUGAUAUUAUUUUGUCCUUUUUACUCGUUUAAAUUCAUACAUGAUCUCAGCACUUGUUGUCCUUUCGUAGCAUUGUAUAACAUGACCAGUCUAUAUGUUUUGUAUGAUUACCGACACCAUACAUGACUAGUCUUUGUCUUAAAGUAUGGAUUGUACUAUAGAGUUACUGCAAGUUGAUAAACAGUAGCAAAAUACCUACCUACGCAAGUAACCUUGCAGUAGGAUUAGACUGGACAUUUAUAACAUGAUUUGAACUAUCAAGCGAGACUAUUUUUACCCUGCAUGCUUGCUUGUAACAAAUGAAGAACUAGGCAACCCUAGUUUCUGAAUAGGCUAAAUGAUUUAUAUAAUAGUUUUGACAUAUAUAUUUUUAUGACAAUUUAAGAGCCUGAUGUUAGUUGUUAUCGAUGAAUAAUUAUACAACGCAACGGUUGCGCCACGUCAUUUGUGCUACAAACCAAUGAGGCGUUAGCCAUGUGCAAAUGUUUAAUGAUAAAAAAAAUAAGUAAUAAAUAAAGAUUCCUUAUUGCAAAUGAUUAUUGGCUUGUUGUAAAAAAGACGUGGCACAUCCGUUGUGUGAGAUAAAUACUCGUUAUCGAGUGAUGCCGUGCAUAGCUGGUUUGUAUUCGAGUUUCAAUUAUGAGGGGAUUAAUGUUAAUUGAGAAAUUCUUUUAUGUAGUCUUUAUUCACUAUGUUAUUAGAAGUAGUUGAUUAAAAAAAAUGUUAAUAGAAGUGGAGUAUUACAUCUUUAAAUUAUACUUCCCGUCAUUAUUACA